Molecule: ribosomal RNA, 301 nt
Filed under: uncultured bacterium
Lineage: Bacteria
Description: partial 16S ribosomal RNA
Rfam family: Bacterial small subunit ribosomal RNA
Source: RNAcentral
CAGUCGCCGCGGGAAUACGUAGGUGGCAAGCGUUGUCCGGAAUUAUUGGGCGUAAAGGGCUCGCAGGCGGUUUCUUAAGUCUGAUGUGAAAGCCCUCGGCUCAACCGGGGGGGGUCAUUGGAAACUGGGAAACUUGAGUGCAGAAGAGGAGAGUGGAAUUCCACGUGUAGCGGUGAAAUGCGUAGAGAUGUGGAGGAACACCAGUGGCGAAGGCGACUCUCUGGUCUGUAACUGACGCUGAGGAGCGAAAGCGUGGGGAGCGAACAGGAUUAGAUACCCCCGUAGUCCCUGUCUCUUAUAC